RNAcentral lists this ribosomal RNA (274 nucleotides) under uncultured bacterium. RNAcentral's name for it is "partial 16S ribosomal RNA". It matches the Rfam family "Bacterial small subunit ribosomal RNA", at positions 523 to 796 of the family's 1533-position model. The record is from RNAcentral.
AUACAGAGGGUGCAAGCGUUAAUCGGAUUUACUGGGCGUAAAGCGCGCGUAGGCGGCUAAUUAAGUCAAAUGUGAAAUCCCCGAGCUUAACUUGGGAAUUGCAUUCGAUACUGGUUAGCUAGAGUGUGGGAGAGGAUGGUAGAAUUCCAGGUGUAGCGGUGAAAUGCGUAGAGAUCUGGAGGAAUACCGAUGGCGAAGGCAGCCAUCUGGCCUAACACUGACGCUGAGGUGCGAAAGCAUGGGGAGCGAACGGGAUUAGAAACCCCAGUAGUCC